Molecule: long non-coding RNA, 1761 nt
Organism: Cairina moschata (Muscovy duck)
Lineage: Eukaryota; Metazoa; Chordata; Aves; Anseriformes; Anatidae
Source: Ensembl
GGGGUGCCCGUGUUUGCAGCUGGGGGGGUGUUGUCCCCCCCCCCCCGGUGUCCCCGUGGCCCCCGGUGCCAGCCGCUCUUGCAGGCAGCACCGCGCUGCACCUGGCCACCAUCGGCUGCCAGCCCCAGUGCGUCAAGGUCCUGCUGCAGGUACCGGCCCCAUGGGGACGGGGACGGGAUGGGGACGGGAUGGGGCUGGAGAGGGAGGUGGGGAAUGGGGAGGGGAUGGGAUGGGAUGGGAUGGGAUGGGAUGGGAUGGGAUGGGAUGGGAUGGGAUGGGAUGGGAUGGGAUGGGAAGGGAAGGGAAUAAACACGAGACCAAGAGUGGGAUGAGGAUGAGGAUGAGGAUGAGGAUGAGGAUGGGGAUGGGGAUGGGGACGGGGACGGGGACAGGGACAGGGACAGGGACAAGGACAGGGACAGGGAGUGGGAUCGGGAUAUGUGUAGGGACAGGGAUGGGGGUGAGAAAUGGGAUAAGAACGAGGACGGAACAGAAAUGGGGCUGAUGAUGAGGACAAGAAGAAGGAUGGGGAUGGGGACAAGGCUGGGAACGGGGCCGGGGGCGCAGGGCAGGACCCCCAGGCCCCUUCCCGUGCCCCUGUCCCCUGCAGUACGGUGCCGACACGCGCCACGUGGACGGGCAGCACCGCACCCCCCUGCACUGGGCCGCCUCCUCGGGCUGCGCCUCCAGCGUGCUGCUGCUCUGCGCACACGGGGCCCCGCUGGACGUCGCCGACGCCCACGGCCAGACACCCCUGAUGCUGGCGGCACGGGGGAACCACGCCGCCGUCUGCGCCCAGCUCCUGCAGAGCGGCGCCGACCCCGACCUCGCCGACAGGGACGAGAAGACAGCCCUGGACCUGGCCCACGAGCACGGCGGCACGGAGGCGGCCGCGCAGCUCCGGCACCACGGGGGCCACGGCCGCGCGCAGCGAGAGAACGGAUCUGGUGGCGCUGGGGACCCUGAGCUGCAGGGCCCCCUGGGCUGUGGAGAGAGCAGCGAGGAAGAGGAGAAGAAGGAGGAGGAGGAGGAGGAAGAUAAAAAGGAGGAAGAGGAGGAAGAGGAGCAGCGGGGUGAGCGUGGCACCGGCCUCCUCCAGCGGGUGCAGGACCUGGCACGGCCCCCACCCGGUGCCAGCAGCGAGGCCGAGGAUGAGGAUGAUGAUGAAGGCUCCGGCCUCGCUCCUCCAGCCGAGCACGGGCAGGAGCUGGCGAGGAGGAGGAGGAGGAGGAGGAGGAGGAAGGCUGAGGAAGAGCCCACGGGGCCGGGGGGGACCCGCGCCCCCCAGGAGGGAGCGGGACGGGGCGCGGAGGUGCAGGAGCUGAAGGAGCGCAACGGGAGCCUGGCGGGCGAGCUGGCCCGGCUGCGCCUCGAGAGGGGGAGGCUGCGGGAGGAGCUGCGGGCGCUGCGGGUGCGGGACCCCCAGCUGGGGGCGGCGGGGGAAGGGGGCAGCCGGGUGGGCGCCCUGUGCCGGGCGCUGGAGGCCAAGCGGGAGGAGGCAGCGAGGCUGCGGCGGAGGCUGGCGGGGCAGCGGAGGGAGCUGGAGGCGCUGCGGGACCGCCUGGGCAGGGGGGUGGGGGAGGACGAGGCCGGCGGCCCCCUCCCCGCCGCCUGCGUCCUGCGGGAGCUGCAGCGGCGGCUGGAGGCCCUGGCGAGGUCCCAGCACGAGGCCCUGCAGCUGGUGGCCGAGAUGGAGGCCGAGGAGGCGGCGGGGAGAGGAGGCCGCCCCGGCGAGGAGGACGGGGACGUCGGAGAGGGGCU